This 292-nucleotide ribosomal RNA is filed under the name uncultured bacterium. RNAcentral's name for it is "partial 16S ribosomal RNA". It matches the Rfam family "Bacterial small subunit ribosomal RNA", at positions 505 to 796 of the family's 1533-position model. The record is from RNAcentral.
GUGUCAGCAGCCGCGGUAAUACGAAGGGGGCAAGCGUUGUUCGGAAUGACUGGGCGUAAAGGGCGCGUAGGCGGUUCGUUGCGUCAGAUGUGAAAGCCCCGGGCUCAACCUGGGAACUGCAUUUGAUACGGGCGGGCUUGAAUCCAAGAGAGGGUGGUGGAAUUCCCAGUGUAGAGGUGAAAUUCGUAGAUAUUGGGAAGAACACCAGUGGCGAAGGCGGCCACCUGGCUUGGUAUUGACGCUGAGGCGCGAAAGCGUGGGGAGCAAACAGGAUUAGAAACCCCCGUAGUCC